Molecule: ribosomal RNA, 253 nt
Filed under: uncultured bacterium
Lineage: Bacteria
Description: partial 16S ribosomal RNA
Rfam family: Bacterial small subunit ribosomal RNA
Source: RNAcentral
CACGUAGGGUGCGAGCGUUGUCCGGAAUUAUUGGGCGUAAAGAGCGUGUAGGCGGUCCGGUAAGUCAGCUGUGAAAGUCAAGGGCUCAACCCUUGAAUGCCGGUUGAUACUGUCGGGCUAGAGUCCGGAAGAGGCGAGUGGAAUUCCCGGUGUAGCGGUGAAAUGCGCAGAUAUCGGGAGGAACACCAAUGGCGAAGGCAGCUCGCUGGGACGGUACUAACGCUGAGACGCGAAAGCGUGGGGAGCAAACAGG